RNAcentral lists this ribosomal RNA (275 nucleotides) under uncultured bacterium. Its description in RNAcentral is "partial 16S ribosomal RNA". It matches the Rfam family "Bacterial small subunit ribosomal RNA", at positions 338 to 608 of the family's 1533-position model. The record is from RNAcentral.
CCUACGGGAGGCUGCAGUCGAGAAUCUUCGGCAAUGAGCGCAAGCUUGACCGAGCGACGCCGCGUGCGGGAUGAAGGCUUUCGGGUUGUAAACCGCUGUCAGUGGGGAGGAAAUUCGGGGGAGCUAUCUCCUUCGAUUGACCGAUCCGCAGAGGAAGGACGGGCUAAGUUCGUGCCAGCAGCCGCGGUAAGACGAACCGUCCGAACGUUAUUCGGAAUCACUGGGCUUAAAGAGUGCGUAGGCGGCCUAUCAGGCGGGGUGUGAAAUCCCUCGGC